CAUUGCGUCACGCGGUCACGUGACCUAUUGCGGGAAGCAUAAAAUCCAGUAGUGGGCUGCUUCCAGGAAGAGCGAGAGGGACGUUGCUGCAGGAGCCAACUACUGAAGCCGUGGGUCGUCGUGCGAGAGUGUUUAAGUGUGAUUUAUCUGCGGAAUUGGCCAUGUUGGAUGGCGAGCUAGAGCCUGAACUAGAGUCUGAAGCUUUAUGCCUGGAACCGAACCAACCGAACUGAAUCCACCCAGCCGGGCGGGGAGGAUGAACUGCUGCUUACAGAAGAGAGCGCAAAAAAAGGGUGAAACGUUGGAGCAGACUGAAGCCGAGAGAGUGAGGACACAAUAGUGCUACUUAGGCUCCCUGGCAACUCUCCGAGAGCUUGUUAGGUUCCUGAGUGAAGGCGGCGGCGUUAAAUGGAGCUGGAGGAGAAGCGCAGAAUGGGAAUAAAUGCGCCUGGCAGUGGUGAGGGCCCAGGCGAGCCUAAAAUGAGACAGGUGAGGCCCCGUCACUGCAAGUCACUGCAGGUAAGCCACCUGUCACAUUUCUGAAGGAGCUGUCUUUAUGGUCCAGCCCACACCUCUUCAGCUUCGCUCACAAUCACACACGUACUUUAAGCACGGUCUCGUCUGGAUGCUUUCAAUAGUCUGCUUUUUAUGCUGUUACAUACUGUAUAUUCAUAUAUUUCUUUAAAAUCCUGCAGCGAACACAAACAACACAUUAUAAUCAAAAAUGUAAUGUGGGAGUGUAAAGAUUAACAUUAGUUGAUGUUGAACUGUUUUGUUUUGUUCCACUCUGUAUGAAGCUUUUGUCUGGAAAUAAAACAUGACUUUUAACAAUAA
Molecule: long non-coding RNA, 834 nt
Organism: Nerophis ophidion (straightnose pipefish)
Lineage: Eukaryota; Metazoa; Chordata; Actinopteri; Syngnathiformes; Syngnathidae
Exons: 6
Source: RefSeq, a predicted model, not a curated record